UGGGGAAUUGUUCGCAAUGGGCGCAAGCCUGACGACGCAACGCCGCGUGGAGGAUGAAGGUCUUCGGAUUGUAAACUCCUGUUGAUCGGGAAGAACUUCCCUUGGGUUAAUACCUCGAGGGAUUGACGGUACCGGUUGAGGAAGCCCCGGCUAACUCUGUGCCAGCAGCCGCGGUAAUACAGAGGGGGCAAGCGUUGUUCGGAAUUACUGGGCGUAAAGGGCGCGUAGGCGGCCACCUAAGUCGGACGUGAAAUCCCUCGGCUCAACCGAGGAACUGCGUCUGAUACUGGGUGGCUUGAGUUCGGGAGAGGGAUGUGGAAUUCCAGGUGUAGCGGUGAAAUGCGUAGAUAUCUGGAGGAACAUCUGUGGCGAAGGCGGCAUCCUGGACCGACACUGACGCUGAGGCGCGAAAGCCAGGGGAGCAAACGGGAUUAGAUACCCAUGUAGUCCCUGAGCGGGCUGGCAAGGCGCAU
This 473-nucleotide ribosomal RNA is filed under the name uncultured bacterium. RNAcentral describes it as "bacterial SSU rRNA". It matches the Rfam family "Bacterial small subunit ribosomal RNA", at positions 355 to 825 of the family's 1533-position model. The record is from RNAcentral.